RNAcentral lists this ribosomal RNA (758 nucleotides) under uncultured bacterium. RNAcentral's name for it is "bacterial SSU rRNA". It matches the Rfam family "Bacterial small subunit ribosomal RNA", at positions 33 to 773 of the family's 1533-position model. The record is from RNAcentral.
ACGCUGGCGGCGUGCCUAAUACAUGCAAGUCGAACGCACAGCGAAAGGUGCUUGCACCUUUCAAGUGAGUGGCGAACGGGUGAGUAACACGUGGACAACCUGCCUCAGGGCUGGGGAUAACAUUUGGAAACAGAUGCUAAUACCGAAUAAAACUUAGUGUCGCAUGACACAAAGUUAAAAGGCGCUUCGGCGUCACCUAGAGAUGGAUCCGCGGUGCAUUAGUUAGUUGGUGGGGUAAAGGCCUACCAAGACAAUGAUGCAUAGCCGAGUUGAGAGACUGAUCGGCCACAUUGGGACUGAGACACGGCCCAAACUCCUACGGGAGGCUGCAGUAGGGAAUCUUCCACAAUGGGCGAAAGCCUGAUGGAGCAACGCCGCGUGUGUGAUGAAGGCUUUCGGGUCGUAAAGCACUGUUGUAUGGGAAGAACAGCUAGAAUAGGAAAUGAUUUUAGUUUGACGGUACCACACCAGAAAGGGACGGCUAAAUACGUGCCAGCAGCCGCGGUAAUACGUAUGUCCCGAGCGUUAUCCGGAUUUAUUGGGCGUAAAGCGAGCGCAGACGGUUUAUUAAGUCUGAUGUGAAAGCCCGGAGCUCAACUCCGGAAUGGCAUUGGAAACUGGUUAACUUGAGUGCAGUAGAGGUAAGUGGAACUCCAUGUGUAGCGGUGGAAUGCGUAGAUAUAUGGAAGAACACCAGUGGCGAAGGCGGCUUACUGGACUGCAACUGACGUUGAGGCUCGAAAGUGUGGGUAGCAAAC